Molecule: ribosomal RNA, 494 nt
Filed under: uncultured bacterium
Lineage: Bacteria
Description: partial 16S ribosomal RNA
Rfam family: Bacterial small subunit ribosomal RNA
Source: RNAcentral
GACGAACGCUGGCGGCGUGCUUAACACAUGCAAGUCGAACGGAAAGGCCUGCUUUCCCUUGUGGAUUGCGGGUACUCGAGUGGCGAACGGGUGAGUAACACGUGAGUGAUCUGCCCCCAACUUGGGUAUAAGCCUGGGAAACUGGGUCUAAUUCCCGAUAGGACUGCAGGGUGGUGCCUGUGGUGGAAAACGAUUUUCUAGUGGUUGGGGAUGAGCUCGCGGCCUAUCAGCUUGUUGGUGGGGUAAUGGCCUACCAAGGCGGCGACGGGUAGCCGGCCUGAGAGGGUGGACGGCCACAUUGGGACUGAGAUACGGCCCAGAAUCCUACGGGAGGCAGCAGUGGGGAAUAUUGCACAAUGGGCGGAAGCCUGAUGCAGCGAAGCCGCGUGGGGGAUGACGGCCUUCGGGUUGUAAACUCCUUUCGACCGCGAGGAAGCCACCUGGUUGGAAGGGUGGUGACGGUAGUGGUAGAAGAAGCACCGGCUAACUACGUG